GAGGGUACAGCUCAGUGGUAGAGCGCAUGCUUAGCAUGCACAAGGUCCUGAGUUCAAUCCCUAGUAUCUCCA
This 72-nucleotide transfer RNA is filed under the name Camelus bactrianus (Bactrian camel). It matches the Rfam family "tRNA". From Rfam's summary of the family: Transfer RNA (tRNA) molecules are approximately 80 nucleotides in length. Their secondary structure includes four short double-helical elements and three loops (D, anti-codon, and T loops). The record is from Rfam by way of RNAcentral. RNAcentral also lists the same sequence under 2 other names. Lineage: Eukaryota; Metazoa; Chordata; Mammalia; Artiodactyla; Camelidae.